RNAcentral lists this ribosomal RNA (468 nucleotides) under uncultured bacterium. Its description in RNAcentral is "partial 16S ribosomal RNA". It matches the Rfam family "Bacterial small subunit ribosomal RNA", at positions 28 to 507 of the family's 1533-position model. The record is from RNAcentral.
GACGAACGCUGGCGGCGUGCUUAACACAUGCAAGUCGAACGGAAAGGCCCUGCUUUUGUGGGGUGCUCGAGUGGCGAACGGGUGAGUAACACGUGAGUAACCUCCCCUUGACUUUGUGAUAACUUCAGGAAACUGGGGCUAAUACCCGAUAGGAGCUCCUGCUGCAUGUUGUGGGUUGGAAAGUUUCGGCGGUUGGGGAUGUACUCGCGGCUUAUCAGCUUGUUGGUGGGGUAGUGGCUUACCAAGGCUUUGACGGGUAGCCGGCCUGAGAGGGUGACCGGCAACAUUGGGACUGAGAUAAGGCCCAGACUCCUACGGGAGGCAGCAGUGGGGAAUAUUGCACAAUGGGCGGAAGCCUGAUGCAGCAACGCCGCGUGCGGGAUGACGGCCUUCGGGUUGUAAACCGCUUUCGCCUGUGACGAAGCGUGAGUGACGGUAAUGGGUAAAGAAGCACCGGCUAACUACGUG